GUUUCCACUCCAACUGUGUCUAUUAACGACGUAAAUGUAUCCGGUACAAUCACAGUGCUAGAGGGGGAAAUGGUGCGAUUUAUAUGCUUCUCUGAUGGGUUUCCUACGCCUUCGUAUAACUGGAAUUUUAAAGGGCACAUUACAGACGGUCAGAUACUGGAAUUAAAAAUCAAACGAACAGAAAAUGGAAAUGCACUGAGGUGCUCAGUAUCUAAUGUAUUGUUGACGAUAAAUGGAAGCAGAACUGCCACGUCAUAUACGCAUUGGGUGGAACUAAUUCUACAAGUAUUGUGUAAGGCAGUGUAAAGUUAUGCGUACACAUAUUAUCGAUAAGAAUCUUUUUUUUGUUUUUGUUUUAAGACAUAUGUCUUACGACUUGACAAAAAUGGAAAGGAAAACACUACGUGUCAAUGAUACAUGGUUUGUUAAUAUAAUUUAUCAUUCCGUUUAUAUUAAUAGAAAAUAUACUUUUAAUAAUGCACUGCUAUCAAACACCAUUCAAAUUAUACUUAGAAUGAAUAAUACAGCAUUGAAGUACAUGUGUCUCAACAGUUCUGGUUGUGUUUACAGAUAAACCCGACAAAUCCGCAGUUCUCAUCAAAACCUGCAACAAUACCAGUGUUCCUCUGAAUGGGUCUCUGACAUUGAGUGACGGAGAAAGCUUUGAAUUGUCAUGUACUGCACAUGGGUAUCCUACGCCUUCUGUUCGUUGGAUUCCGCGAUUUGACGGCUUUGAACAUUUGAACAUAUACUCAGAUCGUAUCAUGUUUCCUACAAACAAAGAGGGACCUAUGCCUGUGUUGCCGAUAACGCCAUGAACAUUACUGCUACUGGUAAAAUAGUUGGGCGGAAUAAUGUAACGGUCCUCUUGGAUAUUAGAGGUAUACGUAACUCCACAACUCUGACAUAAGACACAUUUCUCAAACGGCUUAUACGAUUUGUGCAAAGUGAUUUUAAUAUUAAUAUUAAUGAGACAACACAAUUAUAUUACGAAUAGAAGCAUUACUUAAAAAGUUUAGCAGCAAUGAUGUAUCGUCACUACGUUUAUAUGUAAAGUAGAGUUUUGUUUUAUACAAACAUCCAAAAUAGUUGGAGGGGAAUUUUUCUAAGACCAAAUGAAUCCGCAUCAUUCAAGUAUUAUACAGUAAGAUUGUACUAUUCAAUAGCUCCUCCGAAUCCUCCUGAACAGGCUCAUGUUAUAGCUGACUCAUUGACCGAAAAUUUCGUAACAAUCGAGUGGGUACCAAGUGAAAACGGUGAUGUCUCUGAGACAUUCACUCUGCUUUGGAAAGAGGACAAUAUACCUUACUGGAAUGCAAUUACAAUCCAUUCGCUUACAACGCGUUUUAAUUUGCAAGGCUUGGCACCAGGAAAGAAGUACAAAGUAAAAUUAACGGCUGAAAAUAUUGCUGGAAAAUCAAACGGAACCGACAUAGUCAGCUUUCAAACGGACACUUCUGCGCAAGUUGCUUCUAUUGUUGGAGGAGCCGUUGGCGGUUGUUCCGGACUUGUGAUUGUGUGUGCGCUGACUUUCGUUAUCUACCGAAAAUACCUUAUGUGGAGAAAGAAAAGGCCUUUGCAAAGUAAUGAAUACGAGGAUAUAAUUAAAACAAGAUCAUCAACAAAGGACCUCGAAAGCUAUUGUACAUCAGCUGGUUCGGUGGGCGAAUGCUAUAAGGAAACCGGUUUCCAUGGACGAAACAACCCCACUUACCUAAAAGAUGUGCCACAAGAACAUGAGGAAAGCUACGAGUAUGUAGCGAACCCCAAGUCGAAGAAGAGGGACGUGACAUUAACGCAAUACGACAGCCGCAUCUAUUCGAAUUAGCCGGGCCAGAGGAGAAAUUGUAUCGUUAUCCAUUUUAUAAAUGUUGCAUAUUGGAAAUAACGGAACCAAAACUUAUGUCAUGUAGAUAAAUUAGCGAUGGCAAUACAUGUGUAUGUACAUAUACACUUUAUGACACCUUUACGGAUAUAUUUUUAAUAUUGGGAUAAAUAGCUUUAUGAAAUCUAGACCUAUUUAUUUGUGGGAAGUGUCAUGUCCGAUCACUAAACACAUAACUCUCUGUUUCUGGUUUGAACGCAUUGAGAUUUAAAUGUGGUAAUAUAAAUUCAAAGUGUUGUUUUAAUUAAUGAGUUUUGGUGUACAAAGUUGGUUUGCCACUUGUGCUCUUUGUCCGGUAGAGAACGACGAUGAAUGUCAAUUUGUUAUUUCGGUCCGGUCUCACCGCAAUAAUAUACAGAAGAUGCCGUUAUAGUUAUAAUUCCGUUAUGUGUUAAACUUCCGUAACCACUUUAUGCUGUAGAAACUCUUUAUUUUCUGUGCCAGCUUUCACAAAAUCAUGUAUUAAGAUGCCGUAUUGUUGUUUUGUUUAUUAUAUUUUUCUUUUAAUGUGUACUGCAGUAUAUGUUUGAUUUAAUUCCAAGUAACUGAACUUUACAAAUAACGGUACAUAAUUAACUUCGGCGUUUCUGAAAAUACUUAUGAAUAUUAAAGGUCAGCGUUUUUUCAUAUGGCCUAUAAUUACCAAAAUGUGUAUGUUUGGAAGAUUGGACUUAGUCUAUCGAUUUAAAAGUCAACCAGUCAGAGCUAAAAUUGCCUGGCUUCAAUAAUGACUUCGUGUCCACACACUAUCUUCAACGCUUUAAUUUGUAUCUAGUAAAUUAUUACCAUUUUUAGUUUUACUGGUUGGAUAAAUCAGUUAUUGAGAUUAGUAUUGAGAGUCAAUGUUAACAGAAUUAUCUUAACAAUUGCCAUUAUUGGCAACAAGGCACCACGUCGGGGAUGGGUCAUUGGCGUCGCACUGAAGUGCGGCGACUCGUAUGUAAUACGUUUUUUGUUUCGCUUAUGGGAGGAGAAGUUAUUUUACGGAUCAAUGCAUAUAUUUUUGUUGUCAGAAUAUCUUGCAAAGUGGUGAUUUUUUUGUGUAAAUUAGUGUAAAUAACUUAUGCAUUUGUGCCUAUUAAAUUUACUACAACAUUUAUUGCCAAUAAUGCAAAGCUAAUUCUUUUAAUUAAUAACAGAUCACAGGGAGCGGGCAAUGAUAAAAGAUCACAGGGACUGGGCAAAUACGCGAACCGGUGAAACUUUCUGGUUUUGUAUAAAAACAAAACUUCUUUGUUCCACUAUCCUAGCAACCACAUAGUUACUAAUAAAGGCGCUAUAGAGCUCGAAGCGCAACAUGUAUUAUUAAUUGUAAUAUUGAGUCUUGAUAAAGGAAGCAGCCGCUUAUCAAUGAGGAACAACAUCACAGCACCCCAGUCUCUUUACUAUCAAGUCCUACUACAGUUUUAGUUUUAAGAACCAAAUAUAGAAGGCCGCAGGCCUGACCCUUAUCUUGCCAGUGGAAUGGACCAUUUGGUAUGGACCUUUAACCCCGCUCACUAUCCAGCGUUUAAACUUCCGGGUUUACAUUUAAACCGAAUAUUAAUAGCUUAUUAGUUAGAAGGUGAUUUUUCAAGCGGUUCCGUAGUGUAGUGGUUAAAC
Long non-coding RNA from Dreissena polymorpha, 3487 nucleotides. RefSeq lists it as uncharacterized. The record is from RefSeq and is a predicted model, not a curated record. The transcript has 5 exons. Lineage: Eukaryota; Metazoa; Mollusca; Bivalvia; Myida; Dreissenidae.